AUUGAACGCUGGCGGCAUGCCUUACACAUGCAAGUCGAACGGUAACGGGCCUUCGGGUGCCGACGAGUGGCGAACGGGUGAGUAAUACAUCGGAACGUGCCCGAUCGUGGGGGAUAACGAGGCGAAAGCUUUGCUAAUACCGCAUACGAUCUACGGAUGAAAGCAGGGGACCGCAAGGCCUUGCGCGGACGGAGCGGCCGAUGGCAGAUUAGGUAGUUGGUGGGAUAAAAGCUUACCAAGCCGACGAUCUGUAGCUGGUCUGAGAGGAUGAUCAGCCACACUGGGACUGAGACACGGCCCAGACUCCUACGGGAGGCAGCAGUGGGGAAUUUUGGACAAUGGGCGCAAGCCUGAUCCAGCCAUGCCGCGUGCAGGAUGAAGGCCUUCGGGUUGUAAACUGCUUCUGUACGGAACGAAAAGCCUUCUUUUAAUACAGGAGGGUCAUGACGGUACCGUAAGAAUAAGCACCGGCUAACUACGUG
This 482-nucleotide ribosomal RNA is filed under the name uncultured bacterium. Its description in RNAcentral is "partial 16S ribosomal RNA". It matches the Rfam family "Bacterial small subunit ribosomal RNA", at positions 30 to 507 of the family's 1533-position model. The record is from RNAcentral.